GCGGGAAUAGUUCAGUGGAAGAGCGAAACCUUGCCAAGGUUGAAGUCACGAGUUCGAAUCUCGGUUCCCGCACCA
Molecule: transfer RNA, 75 nt
Filed under: Clostridioides difficile
Lineage: Bacteria; Bacillati; Bacillota; Clostridia; Peptostreptococcales; Peptostreptococcaceae
Description: tRNA-Gly
Rfam family: tRNA
About the family: Transfer RNA (tRNA) molecules are approximately 80 nucleotides in length.
Source: RNAcentral